UAAAUUUUUUUCAAGAAUUUGGAAGACACUAAGACCACCUCCAUUGGUGUAUCUAAAGAGGGGUUCUUAAUGUAAAGUGUGAAAAAAAUAAAUCAAAAAGACAUUAAUUAACAAGAACAUGUGCUUAGUCAAGGGGAAGAAGGAUUGGUAAGAGCUCCUUAUGUGGCAUCGGAUUGGCUUCUUCUAUUCCCACGAAAGGGUGAAACUCUUUCUUCGUCGAUGUUCUUCUCCCGAUCCGUCCUUGCAAUAGAUGAAUAUUUCGUAGUCCUAUGAUACUUACUCUGUCCCACGAGGAGAGGAGAAUAGACACAAGUGUUCUGCCUAAUAAAAUGUUCUGUUUUUUCAAGAAAUCUAGGGAUUUAGUUCUGUGUCUUCUUCUUUAACCAGUAUUUGGAAGUGGUACUGGAUACGACCUCUUUCAGGUCUUUCAUUUGAGGCCAAUGUGUUUUGUUAACAUCAUUUCCGAUGAGUUCUACGCCGCUUGGAAAGAUCGGAUUUUGCUUCUCGGCUCCGUCUCCGUGGAGAGCGAAGGUAGUAGUGAAUCUGCUUCAUCCUCGCGUUUGUGUGGAUGUCUGAAGGGUGAUGGUGAUGGUGAUGGUGAUUCAAAGGUUAGUCUUUUACGGGUUGGUUCGUUCCAGCGCGAGCGUUGUGAUUCUGUUUUUAAGUUUAGUUAUGUACAAAGGAUGAUGAGUUGUCUGUGGGGGAUGGAAGAAGGGGAAAGAGACGAGCUUGAUGUGAUCGUGUGUGUUGAAGUUAUGUGAGGCACUUCUCUGUUUGCAUAAGGAUUUAUGUGAUAUUUGUAGAGUGUUUGAGCGUUUCCUGUGUGAAGUUUGACGACUUUGGGAAUGCUUUUGUUGAUUUGAUUGAGUUGCUGGAAACUGGAAGGAACGUGUAUGGACUCAUAUAUCUGAAGAAACUUGCAGUUCAUCUUGAACUCCCAACAGCUCGUGGAAGCCUUGUCUCUUUGCGAUGAUCUCUUACAGGACAGAGAUGAGAACACAAACAAUGGAGGAGGCUCAAGGAACAAUCUUUCUUCACAUAUUUUUCUAUGUUGUUUCUUCACAUUUCUUAACUUAUUUCUUCUAAAUUGUUUCUUUACAUUUUUUAACUACCGAGAGAGAUACUCUAUAUUGUUUUUUCACAUUUCUUAACUUUUUUGAAAGACAACGAGAACAAGGACACAUUCAGUUA
Brassica oleracea var. oleracea is the source of this 1191-nucleotide RNA transcript. RefSeq lists it as uncharacterized. The transcript is spliced from 2 exons. Lineage: Eukaryota; Viridiplantae; Streptophyta; Magnoliopsida; Brassicales; Brassicaceae. The record is from RefSeq and is a predicted model, not a curated record.